This 544-nucleotide ribosomal RNA is filed under the name uncultured Glomeromycotina. Its description in RNAcentral is "SSU rRNA". It matches the Rfam family "Eukaryotic small subunit ribosomal RNA", at positions 548 to 1098 of the family's 1831-position model. The record is from RNAcentral. Lineage: Eukaryota; Fungi; Glomeromycota.
UUGGAGGGCAAGUCUGGUGCCAGCAGCCGCGGUAAUUCCAGCUCCAAUAGCGUAUAUUAAAGUUGUUGCAGUUAAAAAGCUCGUAGUUGAAUUUCGGGGUUCUACCGUUGGUCGGGCUUUGUCUGUACUGGUGUGUAGAAUUUCUACCUUCUGGGGAACCAUCAUGCUAUUAAUUUAGCGUGGUGGGAAACCAGGACCUUUACCUUGAAAAAAUUAGUGUGUUCAAAGCAGGCUUAUGUCUGAAUACAUUAGCGUGGAAUAAUAGAAUAGGACGGUGGUCCUGUUUUGUUGGUUUCUGAAUCACCGUAAUGAUUAAUAGGGAUAGUUGGGGGCAUUAGUAUUCAAUUGUCAGAGGUGAAAUUCUUGGAUUUAUUGAAGACUAACUUCUGCGAAAGCAUUUGCCAAGGAUGUCUUCAUUAAUCAAGAACGAAAGUUAGGGGAUCGAAGACGAUCAGAUACCGUCGUAGUCUUAACCAUAAACUAUGCCGACUAGGGAUCGGACGAUGUUAAUUUUUCUUGACUCGUUCGGCGCCUUACGGGAAAC